GAUGAACGCUGGCGGCGUGCCUAAUACAUGCAAGUCGAGCGAACAGACGAGGAGCUUGCUCCUCUGACGUUAGCGGCGGACGGGUGAGUAACACGUGGAUAACCUACCUAUAAGACUGGGAUAACUUCGGGAAACCGGAGCUAAUACCGGAUAAUAUAUUGAACCGCAUGGUUCAAUAGUGAAAGACGGUUUUGCUGUCACUUAUAGAUGGAUCCGCGCCGCAUUAGCUAGUUGGUAAGGUAACGGCUUACCAAGGCAACGAUGCGUAGCCGACCUGAGAGGGUGAUCGGCCACACUGGAACUGAGACACGGUCGAGACUCCUACGGGAGGCAGCAGUAGGGAAUCUUCCGCAAUGGGCGAAAGCCUGACGGAGCAACGCCGCGUGAGUGAUGAAGGUCUUCGGAUCGUAAAACUCUGUUAUUAGGGAAGAACAAAUGUGUAAGUAACUAUGCACGUCUUGACGGUACCUAAUCAGAAAGCCACGGCUAACUCCGUG
RNAcentral lists this ribosomal RNA (497 nucleotides) under uncultured bacterium. RNAcentral describes it as "partial 16S ribosomal RNA". It matches the Rfam family "Bacterial small subunit ribosomal RNA", at positions 28 to 507 of the family's 1533-position model. The record is from RNAcentral.